CAUGCAAGUCGAACGCAGUAGCAAUACUGAGUGGCAAACGGGUGAGUAUAAUGUGGGAAUCUGCCUUUUGGUUUGGAAUAACACGGGGAAACCUGUGCUAAUACCGGAUAAGCCCUCACGGGGAAAGUUUUAACGCCGAAAGAUGAGCCUGCACUUGAUUAGCUAGUUGGUAAGGUAAAAGCUUACCAAGGCAACGAUCAAUAGCUGUUCUUAGAGGAAGACCAGCCACAUUGGGACUGAGACACGGCCCAGACUCCUACGGGAGGCAGCAGUGGGGAAUCUUGCACAAUGGGGGAAACCCUGAUGCAGCGAUGCCGCGUGAGUGAAGAAGGCCCUUGGGUUGUAAAACUCUUUCGUCGGGGAA
Molecule: ribosomal RNA, 364 nt
Filed under: uncultured bacterium
Lineage: Bacteria
Description: bacterial SSU rRNA
Rfam family: Bacterial small subunit ribosomal RNA
Source: RNAcentral